UGACACAUACAAAUGAUAGGUCAAAACAGUUAAAGCUAAAUUUGGCUGAAUUAUAAAAGGCAAAAGUUGUAAAUCGAAAGAGCCGUUUGGGAGCUGAAAGAGCCGGCUCUUCUUGGUGAGCUGAGCCAAAUGAUCUGGCUCACUAAAAAGAGCCGAAAUUCCCACCACUACUGGACAUUGACAAGCAGCUAACCAAUGUUGGAGCAGGACAAACACACCCCUAUUUAACAGCCUGGAUCAAGAUGUGUACUGCACUUUUAGCCAUCAUUCUUUUACUUCUAUCUAUCUACCUAUUUAUAUUUAUUGUACUUUAUUUUAUCUAAUUCUUUUUAAUCUUGCCUUAAUUUGAUUUGCACCCUGACAUCCAGCCACCCCUCUCAAGUGCACACACUGUACACAGUCACAUGAUAUUGAUCUUGCCUAGUUAUGUUGGCUUUUUAAAAAAGUUUUCUUUCUUUGUUUGUUUAUUUGUUUGUUUAUUUAUUUAUUUUUUCUUUCUUUA
Long non-coding RNA from Sebastes umbrosus (honeycomb rockfish), 502 nucleotides. RefSeq lists it as uncharacterized. NCBI's taxonomy places the organism in Eukaryota, Metazoa, Chordata, Actinopteri, Perciformes, Sebastidae. The transcript has 3 exons. The record is from RefSeq and is a predicted model, not a curated record.